This is a long non-coding RNA of Labrus mixtus (cuckoo wrasse), 415 nucleotides long. RefSeq lists it as uncharacterized. Lineage: Eukaryota; Metazoa; Chordata; Actinopteri; Labriformes; Labridae. The transcript has 2 exons. The record is from RefSeq and is a predicted model, not a curated record.
AUCCCAGUUCCCUUAAUUGCAUCCAAGUGUCCUCCAAUUUGCCUCCUCCACUUGCGUCUUAGUCCCUCCCACCAGAGAUGCAUGGAGAGAGGCAAGGAAACGAAGCAGAGGAGACAGGAAAUGAGGAGAUAUGUUUUAAGAGACAUGAGACGUCCUUUCCUCCACAGCGUCACGUGAAGCGACGUCAGUUUUCUCUUUAAGUUACCUGAUAAGAAACACCUGAAGAACAACCUGAAGUCUGCUUCAAACCAAAAGGACAAUUUCUACUGACAAAAACAUUUAAUAUUGAAUUGUUUAUUUAUUAUCUUUAUUUGUUUUGACUAAUAAUGUGAUAAUGAACUCUGUAUUUCAUAACCAGAUAUUUUAUGAUGUCUUAGGAAUACUGGAAAUUAUUUAUUAAGUUCUCAAUAGAGAA